GCUUGUAGCCAGCGGCUUUCUUGCAUUUUCCCAAGGUAAAAGGCUCCCGUGACACAUGGAAAUUGCAGCUUUGCAGGCACUCUGUUCAGGGGGAGCCUCCACAUCCUCAGCGCCACAGCAGCAACCCAGCGAGGAUAAAUAAUACAGCUAUGAAAUGAAGAAUGAAUGUAUCAUCACCACCAUUUCACAACUUUGAAUGAAUUAAUGGAUGUAGAAAUUAAUCAUCAAUAGCUGCUAGUAUCACAAAAAGAGAGAAACCAGAUGUUACAUGUUUCCUGAUGGAGAAAUACAGCAUCUAUGAAGCAAUCCUCAAAAAAAAAAAAAAAUUAGACCUGAAGCCGAUCAAGCCCAAUAUCUAACUAACAAUUUAGAGGAAACCCAAAAGACAAAGAAACAUGUACAAUGAGACCACUGGGAGCUCGAAAACUCGAGACUGCUAGAAGCUAACAACUCAGCUUCUUCAAGAAAAGGAGAGAGAGAGAGAGAGAGAAAGAGAGAGAGAGAGAGAGAGAGAGACUAUGAGAGGUAGAGGGGGAAACUAUAGAUGAAAAGAAACAUAAUAAAACAUAGCAACCAAU
Molecule: long non-coding RNA, 578 nt
Organism: Myotis lucifugus (little brown bat)
Lineage: Eukaryota; Metazoa; Chordata; Mammalia; Chiroptera; Vespertilionidae
Exons: 4
Source: RefSeq, a predicted model, not a curated record